GCCCUGGUAGCUCAGCUGGAUAGAGCGACUCCCUCCUAAGGAGUAGGCCGCAGGUUCGAAUCCUGCCCAGGGCAC
Molecule: transfer RNA, 75 nt
Filed under: freshwater metagenome
Description: tRNA-Arg
Rfam family: tRNA
About the family: Transfer RNA (tRNA) molecules are approximately 80 nucleotides in length.
Source: RNAcentral